Molecule: ribosomal RNA, 504 nt
Filed under: uncultured Desulfobulbus sp.
Lineage: Bacteria; Pseudomonadati; Thermodesulfobacteriota; Desulfobulbia; Desulfobulbales; Desulfobulbaceae
Description: bacterial SSU rRNA
Rfam family: Bacterial small subunit ribosomal RNA
Source: RNAcentral
GCCAGCCCGCUCAGAAACUUAAAUGAAUUGACGGGGCCCGCACAAGCGGUGGAGUAUGUGGUUUAAUUCGAUGCAACGCGAAGAACCUUACCUGGUCUUGACAUCCCGGAGACCCUUAGGAAACUAGGGGGUGCUUCCAUCUGGAAGAAUCUGGAGACAGGUGCUGCAUGGCUGUCGUCAGCUCGUGUCGUGAGAUGUUGGGUUAAGUCCCGCAACGAGCGCAACCCUUGCCUUUAGUUGCCAGCAGUUCGGCUGGGCACUCUAAAGGGACUGCCGGUGUUAAACCGGAGGAAGGUGGGGAUGACGUCAAGUCCUCAUGGCCUUUAUGACCAGGGCUACACACGUACUACAAUGGCCGAUACAAAGGGCAGCGACACUGCGAGGUGAAGCCAAUCCCGUAAAAUCGGUCUCAGUCCGGAUUGGAGUCUGCAACUCGACUCCAUGAAGUUGGAAUCGCUAGUAAUCGUGGAUCAGCAUGCCACGGUGAAUACGUUCCCGGGCCUU